Molecule: ribosomal RNA, 253 nt
Filed under: uncultured bacterium
Lineage: Bacteria
Description: partial 16S ribosomal RNA
Rfam family: Bacterial small subunit ribosomal RNA
Source: RNAcentral
UACAGAGGGUGCAAGCGUUAAUCGGAAUUACUGGGCGUAAAGCGUGCGUAGACGGUAGCGUAAGUCGGGUGUGAAAGCCCCGGGCUCAACCUGGGAAUUGCAUUCGAGACUGCUCUGCUAGGGUGCGGAAGAGGGGAGCGGAAUUUCCGGUGUAGCGGUGAAAUGCGUAGAUAUCGGGAGGAACACCAGUGGCGAAGGCGACUUCCUGGCCUGUUCUUGACGCUGAGGCGCGAAAGCUAGGGGAGCAAACGGG